AUGCAAGAAAUUUAGCAUGUUGUGUGCAUAAGAAAUAGAGUUAAAUAUUGUUUCUCUAGUAUUAUCAGAAGUUAUAAGCUAGAGGAAAAUUUCAAGUGUUGUUAAAAAUAGGAAAAUUUGUGAGUGAAGAGGUAGAUUUAAGUUUUAUAUCUUAAUUGCUAGAUGGAUAAUGAAGUAUUUAAAGUAUAAUGUGAUUAUUGUUGAGCUAUUAAUGGAGA
This 218-nucleotide unclassified non-coding RNA is filed under the name Hevea brasiliensis (rubber tree). Lineage: Eukaryota; Viridiplantae; Streptophyta; Magnoliopsida; Malpighiales; Euphorbiaceae. The record is from RNAcentral.